UACGGAGGGUGCAAGCGUUAUCCGGAUUUACUGGGUUUAAAGGGUGCGUAGGUGGGUCUGUAAGUCAGUGGUGAAAUCUCCGAGCUUAACUCGGAAACUGCCAUUGAUACUAUAGGUCUUGAAUUAUCUGGAGGUAAGCGGAAUAUGUCAUGUAGCGGUGAAAUGCGCAGAUAUCAGGAGGAACACCGAUGGCGAAGGCAGGUCUCUGGGCAUUAACUGACGCUGAGGAGCGAAAGCAUGGGGAGCGAACAGG
Molecule: ribosomal RNA, 253 nt
Filed under: uncultured bacterium
Lineage: Bacteria
Description: partial 16S ribosomal RNA
Rfam family: Bacterial small subunit ribosomal RNA
Source: RNAcentral